RNAcentral lists this ribosomal RNA (468 nucleotides) under uncultured bacterium. Its description in RNAcentral is "partial 16S ribosomal RNA". It matches the Rfam family "Bacterial small subunit ribosomal RNA", at positions 28 to 507 of the family's 1533-position model. The record is from RNAcentral.
GACGAACGCUGGCGGCGUGCUUAACACAUGCAAGUCGAACGGAAAGGCCCUGCUUUUGUGGGGUGCUCGAGUGGCGAACGUGUGAGUAACACGUGAGUAACCUUCCCUUUACUUUGGGAUAACUUCAGGAAACUGGGGCUACUACCUGCUAGGAGCUCCUGCUGCAUGGUGGGGUUUGGAAAGUUUCGGCGGUUGGGGAUGGACUCGCGGCUUAUCAGCUUGUUGGUGGGGUAGUGGCUUACCAAGGCAUUGACGGGUAGCCGGCCUGAGAGGGUGACCGGCCACAUUGGGACUGAGAUACGGCGCAGACUGCUACGGGAGGCAGCAGGGGGGAAUAUUGCACAAUGGGCGGAAGCCUGAGGCAGAAACGCCGCGUGCGGGAUGACGGCCUUCGGGUUGUAAACCGCUUUAGCCUGUGACGAAGCGUGAGUGACGGUAAUGGGUAAAGAAGCACCGGCUAACUACGUG